UCUUUCUAUUUCUCUUCUUUCAUAUUGUUUCAAUCUUUCUAUUUCUCUUUCUCUCUCUUCUCUUUCUAUCCGACGAUUGAGUCUUCUUCCUCUUCUAACUCUUUUGUGGUUUGUUUUUCAGGUUAUAGACUGGAUCGAGUUUUGCCGGUGAAUUUUGAAGCUAAAAAGGUAUGGGUUUUGUUUGGUUUUCUUAUAAACUUAGGGUUUUGAUUCUGUAGAUAGGAUUUUUGUGGUUGAUUUGAUGAUUUUGUGGUUUAUUUUCCAGGUUAUAGGCUGGAUCUGGUUUUACCGAUCUGAAGUGUAAACCGGCAAUGGUGAUAUGGUCCUGCAUGUGGAUUCACUUUGACUUUGCGAUGAUGAUGGGGUUGCGCAAUUGAAGAUGGUGGAGCAACUUUCAUGAUUGGAAAGGAAACCAAAUAACAAUAGUGAGAAAAUAUCACAUGAGACAUUUUAUGUUUUGGAGUUUUUAUGGGAAUGAUGGCUUUCUAUGCUUCAACAAAAAAUUUGAGUUUGCAUCUAAGCUAAGAUGUAGAACAUACCCACUUGAUGAUUGGGAUUUGGUGAUUUGCAACAUAACUAUAAUGCAGAUUUAUGUAUUCAUUGCCAUAUGCUACAACUCUCUCACCC
Molecule: long non-coding RNA, 627 nt
Organism: Vicia villosa (hairy vetch)
Lineage: Eukaryota; Viridiplantae; Streptophyta; Magnoliopsida; Fabales; Fabaceae
Exons: 4
Source: RefSeq, a predicted model, not a curated record